Molecule: RNA transcript, 4073 nt
Organism: Zea mays
Lineage: Eukaryota; Viridiplantae; Streptophyta; Magnoliopsida; Poales; Poaceae
Gene name: probable NAD kinase 2, chloroplastic
Exons: 8
Source: RefSeq, a predicted model, not a curated record
AUACAAUCCUCAAAUCAAACCCUGGUAACAAGCUGAGUUUUGACGAGAGCGCAGCGGCCUAGCGCCUUGACGUCGUCGAUGCGAUUGAGGACGUCGAGCAGCACCGCGUCGUGGAGCCGCUCGAACUGGUCAGCGGCCUCGGCCCCGCCGCACGAGCACUCCUCCUGCUGCUGCCGCGCCGCCUCCAUCCCACGGAGGUUGCAAGCAGCCAGGCACACAGAUCGGGAUCGGGGAGAGGAGCCCGUGUGCUCGUGCUCCCGCCACCUCCUGGCUCGCCGCCGUUCGCGACCAUCUCGCCGUCCGAGUCCGACACCACGGCCCCCCUGGGAUGACGGCGCUGAACACGGCAGCCUGGCCAAGGAGAUUUAUUCUCACGGCGGGAGAUUAAGGUAGUGUUUGGUUACUAGGGACUAAUUUUUAGUCCCUCCAUUUUAUUCCAUUUUAGUCUAUAAAUUGCAAAAUAUGGAAACUAUAACUCUAUUUUAGUUUCCAUAUUUGACAAUUUAGUGACUAAAGUGGAAUAAAUAGGAGGGACUAAAAAUUAGUCUCUAAAACCAAACACCCCCUAAUUAGUGUCCGUAACAACUAAUGGGGUUUUUAUGUCCAUAUCAGCGCUUCGUCGUCGUCUACGCCUCCAAACUGUCGAAGCCCUUCUCUACACCUCCAUUUCGUCGAAACCAACUCUGUCGUGUUCCAUAGUGGCAAUAAUCUCGCCGCAGCUGCCUUCACCUUCACCCCUUGUUUUCGACGAUUCCAUUGCUCCUCCCUCAAAGGCCACGGCCUUUUCAGGAACCAACUGUGACAAUCCAGUCAAUUAUGAUCUCUAGCCCCCCUCCUUCCGGCUCCUGUCAUCCUGCGCAUGCCAUCGGGGCGCUCGCCGGGACAACAUUUACCUCGACAGCGACGCCGCCGCUCUCCCUCGACGAGAGCUCGUAGCUGUGUCCGCGCAAGGCUUACUCCUUUCUUGGCCCCGACCCCUUCUCCCCGCCGCCGGCGCCGCGCUUGGCUUGAUGCUCGACGUCUGCGCGCCACACGGGCCCGCCAAGCUCCCGGCUGCGUUUGUCGCCGGCGUGCGAGUCGCCUGGGUCGCCGGCAGGUGGUGGUGGCGAUCCGUGGCGGUGGGGGCGGCGCGCCAUGGCGUCACCACGCGGGCGUCGUUCUUCGGGCUCGAUUCCCAGAAUUUUCAGACAAGGGACCCGUCCCAGUUGUUGUGGAUCGGUCCGGUGCCUGGUGACAUCGCGGAGAUUGAGGCCUACUGCCGCAUAUUCCGUGCUGCCGAGCAGCUCCACACCGCAGUUAUGUCAGCACUUUGUGAUCCAGAGACAGGAGAGUGUCCUGUACGCUAUGAUGUGGAAUCAGAGGAUCUGCCAAUCCUGGAAGACAAGGUCACUGCCGUCCUUGGUUGCAUGCUGGCGUUGCUGAACCGGGGAAGGAAUGAGGUGCUCUCAGGGAGAUCAGGUGUUGCAAGUGCUUUCCAUGGAUCUGUGGACAGCACCUCUGAUAUGAUCCCACCACUCACCUUGUUCCGUGGAGACAUGAAGCGUUGCUGUGAGAGUAUGCAGCUGGCACUUGCCAGCUACCUUGUACCGAGUGAGCCCAGGGGGUUGAAUAUAUGGAGGAAGCUGCAGAGAUUGAAGAACGCUUGUUACGAUGCAGGUUUCUCAAGGCCUGAUGGUUAUCCAUGUCCGACAUUAUUUGCGAAUUGGUUUCCGGUGUACCUUUCGAUUGUGUCAGAUGAUUCAGGAACAGAUGAGCCCGAGGUUGCAUUUUGGAGGGGAGGGCAAGUCAGUGAGGAGGGGCUGGCAUGGCUACUAGAAAAGGGAUUCAAAACUAUUGUUGAUCUCCGGGAAGAAGAUGUUAAAGAUGAUUUGUACCUUUCAGCAGUUCAGGAGGCUGUCUCAUCUGGGAAGAUAGAGGUGGUGAAUAUGCUGGUUGAGAUCGGAACUGCACCAUCAGCUGAACAGGUUAAACAAUUUGCAGCUCUUGUGUCAGAUGGCGCAAAGAAGCCCAUUUAUCUCCAUAGCAAAGAAGGUGUUUCUAGGACGUCUGCAAUGGUCUCAAGAUGGAAACAAUAUGUUACUCGUUCAGAGAGAUUGGCUGUCCAAAAUCACUAUAUAAAUGGGAAUGGUAAGGUCCUGACAAGUGACAAGACCAAGCAGCACACGGGCAGCCCAAGCUCCUCUAUGAAUCGAACUGAAAUUGGUAUGGUAACGGAAUCUGAUAGGACCAUGAACAAUGGAGAAUCAUGUGAGAUAGACAUAGAGACAGCUCGUCAUAAUCUGGAGGUCACUAAUGCCCUUUCCGAUGACCAAAGUACUCAACAAGGUGAAAUGCUUGGGACUGGGACAGAACCCUUGUCAAACUUUAAACUGGAGAGUAACCCCCUUAAAGCACAAUUUCCUACUUGUGAUAUUUUCUCUAGAAAAGAGAUGAGCAAGUUUUUUAGAAGCAAAAAGGUUUAUCCAAAAUCUGUUCUGAACUCAAGGAGACAAUCAAGUAGCUUGCUGGUCUCAAGGAGAAAACAAAAUUUCAGCACAGAGCGUAAUGGAACCAUUGACUAUGAAGCAGCAGAGUUCACAAUUUUAGAAAGUUCAAAUGGAACAUCAUUUGACAAUGAUUAUAUUCUAUCAGUUUCUUCAGGUAUCACUGAUGGAAAACCUUCCAACAAUGGAGCCUUUUCGUUAAUUGAGAAAAAGGAAAGGGAAGUUUCAGUCACUACUUUUGAUACUAGAGCAUCGGCGAGCAGUUCUAAUGGAAAGGUUCAGGUUGGAUCACAAAAAACUGCUGAAAAGAAUGGUACCCCUUAUCUGGAGAGAAACAAUUCAAAUAAUGUUGAUGGAAGUAUGUGUGCAUCUGCAACUGGUGUCGUUAGACUCCAGUCGAGAAGAAAAGCAGAGAUGUUUCUGGUACGUACUGAUGGAUUUUCUUGUACUAGAGAAAAAGUAACAGAAUCAUCUCUGGCUUUUACACAUCCUAGUACCCAGCAACAGAUGCUUAUGUGGAAAUCUCCUCCAAAGACUGUCUUACUUUUGAAGAAAUUAGGCGAUGAGCUGAUGGAAGAAGCUAAAGAGGUUGCUUCAUUUCUGCAUCAUCAAGAAAAAAUGAAUGUUCUUGUGGAACCUGAUGUUCAUGAUACAUUUGCUAGAAUUCCAGGUUAUGGUUUUGUGCAAACCUUCUAUACUCAAGAUACCAGUGACCUUCAUGAGAGAGUUGAUUUUGUUACAUGCUUGGGUGGUGAUGGACUCAUUUUGCAUGCAUCAAACUUAUUUAGAACUUCUGUACCACCUGUUGUCUCCUUCAAUCUCGGAUCUCUUGGGUUCUUAACUUCACAUAAUUUCAAAGAUUUCAGACAAGACUCGAGAGAUUUAAUCCAUGGGAACAACACACUUGGAGUUUAUAUAACCCUUAGAAUGCGCCUAAGAUGUGAGAUCUUUCGUAGUGGAAAAGCAAUGCCUGAUAAAGUGUUUGAUGUGCUGAAUGAAGUUGUUGUUGAUCGAGGUUCCAAUCCAUACCUAUCAAAAAUUGAGUGUUAUGAGCAUAACCACCUUAUCACUAAGGUGCAAGGUGAUGGGGUGAUAGUUGCAACACCAACAGGCAGCACGGCAUAUUCUACUGCAGCUGGGGGAUCAAUGUAAUUUGUCUAGGUUCAUCCAAAUGUCCCAUGCAUGCUGUUUACUCCAAUCUGCCCUCACUCACUGUCAUUUAGACCUGUCAUCCUUCCGGAUUCCGCACGGCUUGAAUUAAAGAUACCAGAUGAGGCAAGAAGCAAUGCAUGGGUUUCAUUUGAUGGCAAAAGGCGGCAGCAACUAUCAAGAGGAGACUCUGUUCGUAUAUCCAUGAGUCAGCACCCGCUACCAACUGUUAAUAAAUCUGACCAAACGGGUGAUUGGUUCCGCAGCCUGAUCAGGUGCCUCAACUGGAACGAGAGAUUAGACCAGAAGGCACUAUAGACACUAGAAUCUUUUUUUAUUUUUUGAUGUACAUAUGUAAAUUCACGCACAAAUAUAGUUUUGUUUUUUCUGCCAACAUGUACAGUGCGUAACAACAAAGAACUUUGCAUAUCAAGGAUCUAA